GGUCAAGCGAACAAGUGCAUGUGGUGGAUGCCUUGGCGAUCACAGGCGAUGAAGGACGCGGUAGCCUGCGAAAAGCUUCGGGGAGCUGGCAAACGAGCUUUGAUCCGGAGAUGUCCGAAUGGGGAAACCCGGCCCGUAUGGGUCAUCCCACACUGAAUCCAUAGGUGUGGGAAGCGAACGCGGCGAACUGAAACAUCUAAGUAGCUGCAGGAACAGAAAUCAACCGAGAUUCCCAAAGUAGUGGCGAACGAAAUGGGAUGAGCCUUGUACUUUUUAGCAGUGUGGUUAGCAAAACGGGAUGGAAAGCCCGGCCAUAGCAGGUGAUAGCCCUGUAUGCGAAAACCGCGUUGUGGAACUAGGGGUACGACAAGUAGGGCGGGACACGUGAAAUCCUGUCUGAAGAUGGGGGGACCAUCCUCCAAGGCUAAAUACUCGUGAUCGACCGAUAGUGAACCAGUACCGUGAGGGAAAGGCGAAAAGAACCCCGGGAGGGGAGUGAAAUAGAUCCUGAAACCGCAUGCAUACAAACAGUCGGAGCCUGGAAACGGGUGACGGCGUACCUUUUGUAUAAUGGGUCAGCGACUUACAUUCAGUGGCAAGCUUAACCGGUUAGGGAAGGCGUAGCGAAAGCGAGUCCGAACAGGGCGAUUGAGUCGCUGGGUGUAGACCCGAAACCAGACGAUCUAUCCAUGGCCAGGUUGAAGGUGCGGUAACACGUACUGGAGGACCGAACCCACUAACGUUGAAAAGUUAGGGGAUGAGCUGUGGAUAGGGGUGAAAGGCUAAACAAGUCUGGAAAUAGCUGGUUCUCUCCGAAAACUAUUUAGGUAGUGCCUCGUGUCUCACCUUCGGGGGUAGAGCACUGUCAUGGUUGGGGGGUCUACUGCUGAUUACCCCGCCAUAGCAAACUCCGAAUACCGAAGAGUGCAAUCACGGGAGACAGACAUCGGGUGCUAACGUCCGGUGUCAAGAGGGAAACAACCCAGACCGCCAGCUAAGGUCCCCAAGAUUGGCUAAGUGGGAAACGAAGUGGGAAGGCUAAAACAGUCAGGAGGUUGGCUUAGAAGCAGCCACCCUUUAAAGAAAGCGUAAUAGCUCACUGAUCGAGUCGUCCUGCGCGGAAGAUGUAACGGGGCUAAGCCAGUCACCGAAGCUGCGGGCGCACCUUGUGUGCGCGGUAGGAGAGCGUUCCGUAAGCCUGUGAAGGUGUCUUGUAAAGGAUGCUGGAGGUAUCGGAAGUGCGAAUGCUGACAUGAGUAGCGAUAAAGGGGGUGAAAGGCCCCCUCGCCGUAAGCCCAAGGUUUCCUACGCAACGUUCAUCGGCGUAGGGUGAGUCGGCCCCUAAGGCGAGGCAGAGAUGCGUAGCUGAUGGGAAGCAGGUUAAUAUUCCUGCACCGUCGUAUGAUGCGAUGGGGGGACGGAUCGCGGAAGGUUGUCCGGUGUUGGAAGUCCCGGUCCCUGCAUUGGAGAAGGCGCUUUGGCAAAUCCGGGCGCGUAAUUCAAGGAUGUGGGGCGAGCGGCCUAGUGCUGCGAAGCAAUCGGAAGGGGUCCCAAGAAAAGCCUCUAAGCUUCAGUCAUACGAGACCGUACCGCAAACCGACACAGGUGGGCGAGAUGAGUAUUCUAAGGCGCUUGAGAGAACUCGGGAGAAGGAACUCGGCAAAUUGGUACCGUAACUUCGGGAUAAGGUACGCCCUGGUAACUUGACUGGCCUGCGCCAGAAGGGUGAAGGGGUUGCAAUAAAAUGGUGGCUGCGACUGUUUAAUAAAAACACAGCACUCUGCAAACACGAAAGUGGACGUAUAGGGUGUGACGCCUGCCCGGUGCCGGAAGAUUAAAUGAUGGGGUGCAAGCUCUUGAUUGAAGUCCCGGUAAACGGCGGCCGUAACUAUAACGGUCCUAAGGUAGCGAAAUUCCUUGUCGGGUAAGUUCCGACCUGCACGAAUGGCGUAACGAUGGCCACACUGUCUCCUCCCGAGACUCAGCGAAGUUGAAGUGUUUGUGAUGAUGCAAUCUCCCCGCGGCUAGACGGAAAGACCCCAUGAACCUUUACUGCAGCUUUGCAUUGGACUUUGAACCGAUCUGUGUAGGAUAGGUGGGAGGCUUUGAAGCGAGGACGCCAGUUCUCGUGGAGCCGUCCUUGAAAUACCACCCUGGUUUGUUUGAGGUUCUAACCUAGGCCCGUGAAUCCGGGUCGGGGACAGUGCAUGGUAGGCAGUUUGACUGGGGCGGUCUCCUCCCAAAGUGUAACGGAGGAGUUCGAAGGUACGCUUGGUACGGUCGGACAUCGUACCUAAAGUGCAAUGGCAAAAGCGUGCUUAACUGCGAGACCGACAAGUCGAGCAGGUGCGAAAGCAGGACAUAGUGAUCCGGUGGUUCUGAAUGGAAGGGCCAUCGCUCAACGGAUAAAAGGUACUCUGGGGAUAACAGGCUGAUACCGCCCAAGAGUUCAUAUCGACGGCGGUGUUUGGCACCUCGAUGUCGGCUCAUCUCAUCCUGGGGCUGUAGCCGGUCCCAAGGGUAUGGCUGUUCGCCAUUUAAAGAGGUACGUGAGCUGGGUUUAAAACGUCGUGAGACAGUUUGGUCCCUAUCUGCCGUGGGCGUUGGAAUCUUGACGGGGGCUGCUCCUAGUACGAGAGGACCGGAGUGGACGUACCGCUGGUGUACCUGUUGUCUCGCCAGAGGCAUCGCAGGGUAGCUAUGUACGGAAGAGAUAACCGCUGAAAGCAUCUAAGCGGGAAACUCGCCUGAAGAUGAGGAUUCCCUGGAGCCUCGAGCUCCUUGAAGGGUCGUUCAAGACCAGGACGUUGAUAGGCUGGGUGUGGAAGCGCAGUAAUGCGUUAAGCUAACCAGUACUAAUUGCCCGUAAGGCUUGAUCCU
Molecule: ribosomal RNA, 2880 nt
Filed under: Cupriavidus gilardii
Lineage: Bacteria; Pseudomonadati; Pseudomonadota; Betaproteobacteria; Burkholderiales; Burkholderiaceae
Description: 23S ribosomal RNA
Rfam family: Bacterial large subunit ribosomal RNA
Source: RNAcentral